Molecule: ribosomal RNA, 388 nt
Filed under: uncultured bacterium
Lineage: Bacteria
Description: bacterial SSU rRNA
Rfam family: Bacterial small subunit ribosomal RNA
Source: RNAcentral
AACGAACGCUGGCGGCGCGUCUUAAGCAUGCAAGUCGAACGGCAAGAUUUUGUAGCUUGCUACAAAAUCCUAGAGUGGCGGACUGGUGAGUAACACGUGGGUGACGUACCUUUCAGAUGGGGAUAGCUACUAGAAAUAGUAGAUAAUACCGAAUACGACCACAGGGGUUAGAGACCUGUGAGGAAAGGAGCUAAGGCUCCGCUGAAAGAUUGGCCCGCGGCCCAUUAGCUAGUUGGUAGGGUAAAGGCCUACCAAGGCAAUGAUGGGUAUCCGGCUGAGAGGGUGAUCGGACACAUUGGGACUGAGAUACGGCCAGACUCCUACGGGAGCAGCAGCUAAGAUAUUCCGCAAAUGGGACGAAAGUACUGACGGAGCGACGCCGCGUGGA